AUGAGUCCAGGCCGGCGCGCCUGCGAGGACGAGCGGAACGGAGACCCGGCUGGCGGCGGCGGCGGACCGGUGAGCCCCGCGACUGGAGCGCGGGCCUGGGCGGUGAGCGCGCUGUGCCUGCUGCUCUCCGCGAGCUCGGCGGUCGCCUGCCUGCUGCUGGGCGUCCAGGCAGCCGCGCUGCAGGGCCGGGUGGCGGCCCUCGAGGAAGAGCGGGAGCUGCUGUGGCGCGCGGGGACUCCCGACGCCUUGGCCGCCUGGGCCGAGCCGCGGCUGGAGCGCCUGCUGCGUGAGAAGUUGGAGGGACCAGUCAAGCUCCGGACAGUUCGAGAAGCACCGACAGACUGUGUCUGCCCCCCAGGAAAUUAACAAGUGACUGCAAGGAGAUCCAACUAGUCAAUCCUGAAGGAAAUCAGUCCUGAAUAUUCAUUCAGCUGAAGCUGAAACUCCAAUACUUCGGCCACCUGAUGGGAAGAACUGACUCAUCUGAAAAGACCCUGAUGCUGGGAAAGAUUGAAGGCAGGAGGAGAAGGGGCUGACAGAGGAUGAGAAGGUUGGACGGCAUCACUGACUCAAUGGACAUGAGUUUGAGUAAGCUCCAGAAAUUGGUGAUGGACAGGGAAGCCUGGCGUGCUGCAGUCCAUGGGGUCACAAAGAGUUGGACACGACUGAGUGA
RNAcentral lists this long non-coding RNA (673 nucleotides) under Capra hircus (goat). RNAcentral describes it as "lncRNA (ENSCHIG00000007097.1)". Lineage: Eukaryota; Metazoa; Chordata; Mammalia; Artiodactyla; Bovidae. The record is from RNAcentral.